RNAcentral lists this ribosomal RNA (471 nucleotides) under uncultured bacterium. Its description in RNAcentral is "partial 16S ribosomal RNA". It matches the Rfam family "Bacterial small subunit ribosomal RNA", at positions 28 to 507 of the family's 1533-position model. The record is from RNAcentral.
GACGAACGCUGGCGGCGUGCUUAACACAUGCAAGUCGAACGAUGAAGCCUAGCUUGCUAGGUGGAUUAGUGGCGAACGGGUGAGUAAUACGUGAGUAACCUACCUUUAACUCUGGGAUAAGUCCGGGAAACUGGGUCUAAUACCGGAUACGACCAAUCUCCGCAUGGGGUGUUGGUGGAAAGCGUUAUGUAGUGGUUAUAGAUGGGCCCACGGCCUAUCAGCUUGUUGGGGGGGUAACGGCCCACCAAGGCGACGACGGGUAGCCGGCCUGAGAGGGUGAACGGCCACAUUGGGACUGAGACACGGCCCAGACUCCUACGGGAGGCAGCAGUGGGGAAUAUUGCACAAUGGGCGCAAGCCUGAUGCAGCGACGCCGCGUGAGGGAUGACGGCCUUCGGGUUGUAAACCUCUGUUAGCAGGGAAGAAGAGAGAGUGACGGUACCUGCAGAGAAAGCGCCGGCUAACUACGUG